This 28-nucleotide non-coding RNA is filed under the name Mus musculus (house mouse). Lineage: Eukaryota; Metazoa; Chordata; Mammalia; Rodentia; Muridae. The record is from RNAcentral.
UCUGAGGAAUUCAGGCUCAAGAUGGCUC